CACACCGUGUCCAUCACCCCGGACGACGGGGGAGCCGACAACUGGGAGGACCGACCCCGAUUUCGUGGUAGGAGCCGCCGGUCUGCCCGCCUUUCCCGUCUCCUGAAGUGGAUCCUCCCAGAGUGACGUAAGUGAAAAAGGGCAGAGACGGGGGACCAAGGCCGUGCCAGGAUCUGGGCACCAGGAACACAUCAAUAUCCACAAGUUGCGGGAGACUGUGUUUCAAGAACACCAGACCCUCAAGGAGAAAGAGCUGGAGAUGGGACCAGAGCCUCGCACGGCUACGGAGGGAAGUUUGGCGUGGAGCAGGACAGGAUGGACAAGG
Odocoileus virginianus texanus is the source of this 325-nucleotide non-coding RNA. NCBI's taxonomy places the organism in Eukaryota, Metazoa, Chordata, Mammalia, Artiodactyla, Cervidae. The record is from RefSeq and is a predicted model, not a curated record.